UACGAGGGGGGCGAGCGUUGUCCGGAAUUAUUGGGCGUAAAGGGUGCGUAGGCGGUUUGGUAAGUCUUAUGUGAAAUCUACAGGCUCAACUUGUAGUCUGCAUGAGAAACUGCCGGGCUUGAGUAUGGGAGAGGUGAGUGGAAUUCCUGGUGUAGCGGUGAAAUGCGUAGAUAUCAGGAGGAACACCUGUGGCGAAAGCGGCUCACUGGACCAUAACUGACGCUGAUGCACGAAAGCUAGGGGAGCAAACAGG
This 253-nucleotide ribosomal RNA is filed under the name uncultured bacterium. RNAcentral describes it as "partial 16S ribosomal RNA". It matches the Rfam family "Bacterial small subunit ribosomal RNA", at positions 524 to 776 of the family's 1533-position model. The record is from RNAcentral.